This 436-nucleotide ribosomal RNA is filed under the name uncultured bacterium. Its description in RNAcentral is "bacterial SSU rRNA". It matches the Rfam family "Bacterial small subunit ribosomal RNA", at positions 957 to 1392 of the family's 1533-position model. The record is from RNAcentral.
GAACGCGAAGAACCUUACCAGGUCUUGACAUCCAAAGAACCUUUACGAAAGUAGGGGGUGCCUUCGGGAGCUUUGAGACAGGUGGUGCAUGGUUGUCGUCAGCUCGUGUCGUGAGAUGUUGGGUUAAGUCCCGCAACGAGCGCAACCCUUGCUAUUAGUUGCUAACAUUUCGGAUGAGCACUCUAAUGGGACUGCCCGUGACAAGCGGGAGGAAGGUGGGGACGACGUCAAAUCAUCAUGCCCUUUAUGAUCUGGGCUACACACGUGCUACAAUGGAUGGUACAGAGAGCAGCGAGGCCGCGAGGUGGAGUGAAUCUCAAAAAAGCCAUUCUCAGUUCGGAUUGCAGUCUGCAACUCGACUGCAUGAAGUCGGAAUCGCUAGUAAUCGCGGAUCAGCACGUCGCGGUGAAUGCGUUCCCGGGUCUUGUACACACCG